This 468-nucleotide ribosomal RNA is filed under the name uncultured bacterium. Its description in RNAcentral is "partial 16S ribosomal RNA". It matches the Rfam family "Bacterial small subunit ribosomal RNA", at positions 28 to 507 of the family's 1533-position model. The record is from RNAcentral.
GACGAACGCUGGCGGCGUGCUUAACACAUGCAAGUCGAACGGAAAGGCCCUGCUUUUGUGGGGUGCUCGAGUGGCGAACGGGUGAGUAACACGUGAGUAACCUGCCCUUGACUUUGGGAUAACUUCAGGAAACUGGGGCUAAUACCGGAUAGGAGCUCCUGCUGCAUGGUGGGGGUUGGAAAGUUUCGGCGGUUGGGGAUGGACUCGCGGCUUAUCAGCUUGUUGGUGGGGUAGUGGCUUACCAAGGCUUUGACGGGUAGCCGGCCUGAGAGGGUGACCGGCCACAUUGGGACUAAGAGAGGGCCCAGACUCCUACGGGAGGCAGCAGUGGGGAAUAUUGCACAAUGGGCGGAAGCCUGAUGCAGCAACGCCGCGUGCGGGAUGACGGCCUUCGGGUUGUAAACCGCUUUCGCCUGUGACGAAGCGUGAGUGACGGUAAUGGGUAAAGAAGCACCGGCUAACUACGUG